This 862-nucleotide long non-coding RNA is filed under the name Marmota monax (woodchuck). Lineage: Eukaryota; Metazoa; Chordata; Mammalia; Rodentia; Sciuridae. The record is from RNAcentral.
CUUCAAACAGCAACAGCCCCUGCUUCACUUACACCUCCCAAGUUCUAUACAAAUACCUUUUUUAACCAAUUCUAAUGCAGAACCAUACAGAGAAGAGGCAUCUGGGAACACUGCUCUAGUUUAACCAAGUUGAAAAUAGAAUGGUUCAGCACACUAUUCAAGACUAUUGUUUAUUUCUCUAUUCAUUCACGUCCCCUUUUAUACCAUUCAGUGCUGUUUUAUAAGUUAGUUUAUAUAACUCUGUAUUUUAGUCAUGUGUGUUUCAUGUGGUUUUGUUAUCUUUAUUGCUUUCGUCAAUGACUUUUUCUUCCAAAUUUUUUGCUUGUUAUGUAAUGCUUUUCAGAGUACAUUUAUAACUAGGCAGGUUAUUUAAAUAAUUAUCAUAGCCUUUCCAACAAUAUAAUUGUAUUUUCUAGGCAGAAAAUCAUAAGUACUCUUUCUUCUUUCCAAAAUUUAUAACUCUGAGUUUUCCAAGUUUAGAUACACUGGUUAGCACUGCCAAAGAGGCGCUGUUCUUGAGAUUUAUCCUCUAGAUGGCCCUGAUUAUCUUAGAUGCACAAAAAUAAAUUUAUUAAAGAACUCUGAGUGCCACACUACUGCUUGAGAUUCUGAACUCAAUGCUGAUAUAGUAUGAUCUGUGAAUUUAAAUGCCCAGUUUUCUGACUAAUGCUGCUCAGGCCCUGGGAGUAUAAAUGAGAAAUGCUUUUCUCCAACAUCUGCUUGAUGUCCUUGAAACAAAAGUCAACCAGACCUUCUGGGUUUGUGCUGUUGUGAAGGUUUAGGGUUUAUGCCAUUGCCAACCUUGGUGAUGGACAGUGCUUUGGAAGGAAAGGAGGCUUUGAACAAAGUAGGCUCUUGGUCA